AAGCAACCUACCCUAAAGACGAGGAUAACCAUUGGAAACAGUGGCUAAGACUGGAUAGGAAGAUAAAAGGCAUCUUGUAUCUUUUAAAAGACCUAGUUAAUAGGUAUGCUUUAGGAGGGGCUUGCGCCAUAUUAGUUAGUUGGUAGGGUAAUGGCCUACCAAGACGAUGAUGUGUAGCUGGACUGAGAGGUUGAACAGCCACAUUGGGACUGAGACACGGCCCAAACUCCUACGGGAGGCAGCAGUAGGGAAUUUUCGGCAAUGGAGGAAACUCUGACCGAGCAACGCCGCGUGAAUGACGAAGUACUUCGGUAUGUAAAGUUCUUUUAUCGAGGAAGAAAAGCAAAUGGCGAACCAUUUGUUUGCCGGUACUUGAUGAAUAAGCCCCGGCUAAUUAUGUGCCAGCAGCCGCGGUAAGACAUAAGGGGCAAGUGUUAUCCGGAAUUAUUGGGCGUAAAGGGUGCGUAGGCGGUCUAGUAAGUCAGUGGUGUAAUGGCAACGCUUAACGUUGUCCGGCUAUUGAAACUGCUAAACUUGAGUUAGAUAGAGGCGAGUGGAAUUCCAUGUGUAGCGGUAAAAUGCGUAAAUAUAUGGAGGAACACCAGAGGCGUAGGCGGCUCGCUGGGUCUUAACUGACGCUGAGGCACGAAAGCGUGGGGAGCAAACAGGAUUAGAUACCCUGGUAGUCCACGCCGUAAACGAUGAGUACUAAGUGUCGGGUUAAACCGGUACUGAAGUUAACACAUUAAGUACUCCGCCUGAGUAGUACGUACGCAAGUAUGAAACUUAAAGGAAUUGACGGGACUCCGCACAAGCGGUGGAUCAUGUUGUUUAAUUCGAAGAUACCCGAAAAACCUUACCAGGUCUUGACAUGUUUUUGCAAAAUGAUAGUAAUAUCGUGGAGGUUACCAGAAACACAGGUGGUGCAUGGUUGUCGUCAGCUCGUGUCGUGAGAUGUUAGGUUAAGUCCUAAAACGAGCGAAACCCUUAUCGUUAGUUGCCAGCACGUUAUGGUGGGGACUUUAACGAGACUGCCAAUGAUAAAUUGGAGGAAGGUGAGGAUCACGUCAAAUCAGCAUGCCCCUUAUGACCUGGGCUACAAACGUGAUACAAUGGCUGUUACAAAGGGUAGCUGAAACGCAAGUUCUUGGCCAAUCCCCAAAAACAGUCCCAGUCCGGAUUGAAGUCUGCAACUCGACUUCAUGAAGUUGGAAUCGCUAGUAAUCGCGAAUCAGCAUGUCGCGGUGAAUACGUUCUCGGGGUUUGUACACACCGCCCGUCAAACCACGAAAGUUGGCAAUACCCCAAAACGGUAGCCUAACUCGUUUAUUCGAGAGGGCGCCGUCUAAGGUAGGGUCGAUGAUUGGGGUUAAGUCGUAACAAGGUAUCCCUACCGGAAGGUGGGGAUGGAUCACCUCCUUUCUAAGGAAACCAAUAAAAUCAAUCAUCUUCAGUUUUGAAAGACUUAGGCAACUAAGUUUUUCUUCGUGACUUCACGAAGGGCCUAUAGCUCAGUUGGUUAGAGCACACGCCUGAUAAGCGUGAGGUCGGUGGUUCAAGUCCAUUUAG
RNAcentral lists this ribosomal RNA (1569 nucleotides) under Mungbean phyllody phytoplasma. RNAcentral's name for it is "bacterial SSU rRNA". It matches the Rfam family "Bacterial small subunit ribosomal RNA". Lineage: Bacteria; Bacillati; Mycoplasmatota; Mollicutes; Acholeplasmatales; Acholeplasmataceae. The record is from RNAcentral.